RNAcentral lists this ribosomal RNA (1864 nucleotides) under Enterobacter sp. 56-7. Its description in RNAcentral is "bacterial LSU rRNA". It matches the Rfam family "Bacterial large subunit ribosomal RNA", at positions 1 to 1895 of the family's 2925-position model. The record is from RNAcentral. Lineage: Bacteria; Pseudomonadati; Pseudomonadota; Gammaproteobacteria; Enterobacterales; Enterobacteriaceae.
GUUGUAUAGUCAAGUAAUUAAGUGCAUGUGGUGGAUGCCUUGGCAGUCAGAGGCGAUGAAAGACGUAAUAGCCUGCGAUAAGCUCCGGGGAGGCGGCAAAUAUCCUUUGAUCCGGAGAUUUCUGAAUGGGGGAACCCACCCGCUAUAAGGCGGGUAUCAUAAGCUGAAUACAUAGGCUUAUGAAGCGAACGAGGGGAAGUGAAACAUCUCAGUACCCUUAGGAAAAGAAAUCAAUUGAGAUUCCCUUAGUAGCGGCGAGCGAACGGGGAGCAGCCCAUUAAGUUGUGUGUGUUCUAGUGGAACGCUCUGGGAAGUGCGAACGUAGAGGGUGAUAUUCCCGUACACGAAAGGGCACACACAAUGAUGACGAGUAGGGCGAGGCACGUGAAACCUUGUCUGAAUAUGGGGGGACCAUCCUCCAAGGCUAAAUACUCCUGACUGACCGAUAGUGAACCAGUACCGUGAGGGAAAGGCGAAAAGAACCCCUGUGAGGGGAGUGAAAUAGAUCCUGAAACCGCAUGCAUACAAGCAGUGGGAGCCGACUUGUUCGGUGACUGCGUACCUUUUGUAUAAUGGGUCAGCGACUUAUAUUCAGUAGCAAGGUUAACCGUAUAGGGGAGCCGUAGAGAAAUCGAGUCUUAAUAGGGCGUUUAGUUGCUGGGUAUAGACCCGAAACCAGGCGAUCUAUCCAUGAGCAGGUUGAAGGUUGGGUAACACUAACUGGAGGACCGAACCCACUGUCGUUGAAAAGCCAGGGGAUGACUUGUGGAUAGGGGUGAAAGGCUAAUCAAGCCUGGUGAUAGCUGGUUCUCCCCGAAAGCUAUUUAGGUAGCGCCUCGGACGAAUACCAUUGGGGGUAGAGCACUGUUUCGGCUAGGGGGUCAUCCCGACUUACCAAACCGAUGCAAACUCCGAAUACCAAUGAGUACUAUCCGGGAGACAGACUGCGGGUGCUAACGUCCGUAGUCAAGAGGAAAACAAUCCAGACCGCCAGCUAAGGCCCCAAAAUCAUAGUUAAGUGGGAAACGAUGUGGGAAGGCAUAGACAGCUAGGAGGUUGGCUUAGAAGCAGCCACCCUUUAAAGAAAGCGUAAUAGCUCACUAGUCGAGUCGGCCUGCGCGGAAGAUGUAACGGGGCUAAAACUAUGUGCCGAAGCUGCGGAUUUGACAUUAGUCAAGUGGUAGGGGAGCGUUCUGUAAGCCGAUGAAGGUGUAUUGAGAAGUAUGCUGGAGGUAUCAGAAGUGCGAAUGCUGACGUGAGUAACGACAAAACGGGUGAAAAACCCGUUCGCUGAAAGACCAAGGGUUCCAGUCCAACGUUAAUCGGGGCUGGGUGAGUCGACCCCUAAGGCGAGGCCGAGAGGCGUAGUCGAUGGGAAAUUGGUUAAUAUUCCAAUACUUCUGUGUAAUGCGAUGAGAGGACGGAGAAGGUUAAGUCAGCCUGGCGUUGGUUGUCCAGGUGGAAGGUUGUAGGCAUGUAUCUUAGGCAAAUCCGGGGUACUCUAUGCUGAGAACUGAUAGCAAGCUGUACUUGUACAGUGAAGUGGCUGAUACCAUGCUUCCAGGAAAAGUCUCUAAGCUUCAGUUACACAGGAAUCGUACCCGAAACCGACACAGGUGGUCAGGUCGAGUAGACCAAAGCGCUUGAGAGAACUCUGCUGAAGGAACUAGGCAAAAUGGUACCGUAACUUCGGGAGAAGGUACGCUGCUGACGGUGAUGGGACUUGCUCCCUGAGCUAUUGGCAGCCACAGAAACCAGGCCGCUGCAACUGUUUAUUAAAAACAUAGCACUCUGCAAACACGAAAGUGGACGUAUAGGGUGUGAUGCCUGCCCGGUGCUGGAAGGUUAAUUGAUGGGGUUAGCG